GAGGGUGUAGCUCAACUGGUAGAGCACAUGCUUAGCACACACAAGGUCCUGGUUUCAAUCCCCAGUACCUCCU
This is a transfer RNA of Camelus ferus (Wild Bactrian camel), 73 nucleotides long. It matches the Rfam family "tRNA". Rfam says of the family: Transfer RNA (tRNA) molecules are approximately 80 nucleotides in length. Their secondary structure includes four short double-helical elements and three loops (D, anti-codon, and T loops). The record is from Rfam. Lineage: Eukaryota; Metazoa; Chordata; Mammalia; Artiodactyla; Camelidae.